AUGAUACUCCCUCCGUCCGGAAAUACUUGUUAUUAAAAUGAAUAAAAAGAGAUGUAUCUAGACGUAUUUUAGUUAUAGAUACAUCACUUUUUAUCCAUUUUGAUAACAAGUAUUUUCGGACAGAGAGAGUACAUC
Triticum aestivum (bread wheat) is the source of this 135-nucleotide non-coding RNA. NCBI's taxonomy places the organism in Eukaryota, Viridiplantae, Streptophyta, Magnoliopsida, Poales, Poaceae. The record is from Rfam.